CGGGAUAUCGUAUAGAGGUAGUACGCGCGCUUCGGGUGCGUGUAGCCCCGGUUCGAUUCCGGGUAUCCCGACCA
Molecule: transfer RNA, 74 nt
Filed under: Candidatus Falkowbacteria bacterium CG02_land_8_20_14_3_00_36_14
Lineage: Bacteria; Candidatus Falkowiibacteriota
Description: tRNA-Pro
Rfam family: tRNA
About the family: Transfer RNA (tRNA) molecules are approximately 80 nucleotides in length. Their secondary structure includes four short double-helical elements and three loops (D, anti-codon, and T loops). Further hydrogen bonds mediate the characteristic L-shaped molecular structure. tRNAs have two regions of fundamental functional importance: the anti-codon, which is responsible for specific mRNA codon recognition, and the 3' end, to which the tRNAs corresponding amino acid is attached (by aminoacyl-tRNA synthetases). tRNAs cope with the degeneracy of the genetic code in two manners: having more than one tRNA (with a specific anti-codon) for a particular amino acid; and 'wobble' base-pairing, i.e. permitting non-standard base-pairing at the 3rd anti-codon position.
Source: RNAcentral